ACGUCCCUGCGUAGGAAGUGUACUUGCUUCCCUUUCUCGGUUCUUGGUGCCUAGGGCGGGCGAGCGUAGAGCCAUGGCGACCUCGUCACCUCGCACCGCGAUAUCCUCGUCAUCGGCGAUGAAACAGUAUCUGCAGCAAGCAGCGGAGGACGAUGUCGUCUGUGCAUUUGGCCCCGACUACUUCCACGGCGCGCGCGCCGGUGCCUGCGUCGGCUCCCUGUUCUCUGCGACCCUCUGCUGGUACACGUUUCGGCUGUUAAAGGAGGACCAGCGGGAGGCCGACUUCCUCGCCGGUCUCAGGCAGGGCCAGCGCAACCGUCACUUCUCUACUUGGACUCUUCUGCGCGGCUUGCGCACUCAACCGAUGCUCACCACGGGGUGCAUUGCGCUCGCCACCACGUCUGCGAUGAAGUGCAUCAAGUGCUACCUGGCAAACCAGCGCUGCCGCGAGUUUUUCAUUGACGACGUGCAGUUUGAUAUGAUCAGCGAACUGAGUGAAACGGACUCAUACGCGGCGGCUUUUCUGUCGACAGUUUUUCAUAAUGCAACCGGCUGCGGCGCAGGCGCGCACGAUGCAUUCACCACGCUCAGAGAGGAUCGCAGUGAAGGCCAACCCACUCAGUCGCCUUCCCCUAGGGCGUCUGCAUCGACAUCGACGGUGAAUGACCUACUUCACGCCCACAUUAGUAAGCUAGACAGCGAAAAGGUCGCUCUUAUUCACCGCGCGCCAACGUACUACGACGGGGUUGCCGUUGCGUUCCUCGGCUCCGUUUUGGACUGCUACCUGCCGCAAAAGCCGGUGCAGAGGUACUAUAGCAUGCGUGCCGGUACUUGGUAGGAUUAUCUUGUACAGGUCUGUUUAUCCUAGUAGCUUUUUGUUUUGGUAGUGCCGUUUGAUUGCUGCACUGCUUAUUGUAGGGUGUGUGCUUUACACUUUCCUGUUGAAGGCUUUUCAG
RNAcentral lists this unclassified non-coding RNA (956 nucleotides) under Leishmania donovani. RNAcentral's name for it is "gene:LdHU3.36.1610(CDS-product:hypothetical_prote in_conserved)". Lineage: Eukaryota; Euglenozoa; Kinetoplastea; Trypanosomatida; Trypanosomatidae. The record is from RNAcentral.